AGAGUUUGAUCCUGGCUCAGGACGAACGCUGGCGGCGCGCCUAACACAUGCAAGUCGAACGAGCGAGAGAGAGCUUGCUUUCUCGAGCGAGUGGCGAACGGGUGAGUAACGCGUGAGGAACCUGCCUCAGAGAGGGGGACAACAGUUGGAAACGACUGCUAAUACCGCAUAAGCCCACGACCCGGCAUCGGGUAGAGGGAAAAGGAGCAAUCCGCUUUGAGAUGGCCUCGCGUCCGAUUAGCUAGUUGGUGAGGUAACGGCCCACCAAGGCGACGAUCGGUAGCCGGACUGAGAGGUUGAACGGCCACAUUGGGACUGAGACACGGCCCAGACUCCUACGGGAGGCAGCAGUGGGGAAUAUUGCACAAUGGGGGAAACCCUGAUGCAGCGACGCCGCGUGGAGGAAGAAGGUCUUCGGAUUGUAAACUCCUGUUGUUGAGGAAGAUAAUGACGGUACUCAACAAGGAAGUGACGGCUAACUACGUGCCAGCAGCCGCGGUAAAACGUAGGUCACAAGCGUUGUCCGGAAUUACUGGGUGUAAAGGGAGCGCAGGCGGGAAGACAAGUUGGAAGUGAAAUCCAUGGGCUCAACCCAUGAACUGCUUUCAAAACUGUUUUUCUUGAGUAGUGCAGAGGUAGGCGGAAUUCCCGGUGUAGCGGUGGAAUGCGUAGAUAUCGGGAGGAACACCAGUGGCGAAGGCGGCCUACUGCGCACCAACUGACGCUGAGGCUCGAAAGUGUGGGUAGCAAACAGGAUUAGAUACCCUGGUAGUCCACACUGUAAACGAUGAUUACUAGGUGUUGGAGGAUUGACCCCUUCAGUGCCGCAGUUAACACAAUAAGUAAUCCACCUGGGGAGUACGACCGCAAGGUUGAAACUCAAAGGAAUUGACGGGGGCCCGCACAAGCAGUGGAGUAUGUGGUUUAAUUCGACGCAACGCGAAGAACCUUACCAAGUCUUGACAUCCUGCGACGGACAUAGAAAUAUGUUUUUCCUUCGGGACGCAGAGACAGGUGGUGCAUGGUUGUCGUCAGCUCGUGUCGUGAGAUGUUGGGUUAAGUCCCGCAACGAGCGCAACCCUUAUGGUCAGUUACUACGCAAGAGGACUCUGGCCAGACUGCCGUUGACAAAACGGAGGAAGGUGGGGAUGACGUCAAAUCAUCAUGCCCUUUAUGACUUGGGCUACACACGUACUACAAUGGCGUUAAACAAAGAGAAGCAAGACCGCGAGGUGGAG
This 1238-nucleotide ribosomal RNA is filed under the name metagenome. RNAcentral's name for it is "bacterial SSU rRNA". It matches the Rfam family "Bacterial small subunit ribosomal RNA", at positions 8 to 1267 of the family's 1533-position model. The record is from RNAcentral.